Molecule: ribosomal RNA, 2297 nt
Filed under: marine metagenome
Description: bacterial LSU rRNA
Rfam family: Bacterial large subunit ribosomal RNA
Source: RNAcentral
AACGUAUUUUGUGGAUGCCUUAGGCUCAUACUCACAAUGGGCGCUUUACGAUGCGAAACGUUGUAUCUUAGACAUCAUUCUGUUAGGUGCAAAUCCCCACUGUGGAAAACCACAUUUUGAAGACACGAGGAGAAUUGAAACAUCUUAGUAUCCUCUAGGAAAAGAAAUCAACCGAGAUUCCGUUAGUAUUGGCGAAAGAACGCGGAAAAGGCUAUAAAAGAAAAAAGUGUAAAACAUGGUGGAAUCCAUUGACCAGAGAAGGUAAAAGUCCUGUAUAAUAUAUUUUUUCUUUUUGCAAAGUAGAACGUUCAUUGUUUGAAAAAAGGAGAACCACCUUCUAAGCCUGAAUAUGAGUAUGAGAUCGAUAGUGGACAAGUACUGUGAAGGAAAGGUGAAAAGAACCCUCUUCGUAGGGAGUGAAAAGAUCUGAACCAAAAUACAAUCAAUCAAUUGGUGUGAUUUGUACAAUCCACCAGUGUACCUUUUGCAUAAUGGGUCAGCGACUAAAUGUAUGAAGCGUGCUUAAGCAAAGAUGUGGAGGCAAAGCAAAAGCAAGUAAUCAAUGUGCGAGUGUUUCAUGCAUUUGACCCGAAACUAAGUGAUCUCACUUUGAGCAGGUUGAAGAAAGCGUAAUGUCUUUUGGAGGACCGAACCGACGUCUGUAGCAAUAGACGCGGAUGAUUUGAGAUAAGGGGUGAAAGGCCAAUCAAACUUAGAAAUAGCUGGUUCUUCGCGAAAUUUAUUGAGGUAAAGCGUAUGUGCAAUCUUUCUGGGGGUAGAGCACUUAUUGAGCUAUGGGGGUCCAAAACCUUACUGCUCUCAAGAAAACUCCGAAUACCAGCAAAGAGCCGCAUGCAGACAGACGUUUAGUGCUAAGGUUAAACGUCGAAAGGGAAACAGCCCAGCCUGAUCGCUAAGGUCCCGAAGCAUUCUGUGAGUGGGAAAAGAAGUAGAGCAACAUUGACAACUAGGAGGUUGGCUUGGAAGCAGCCAUUCUAUCAUGAAAGCGUAAUAGCUCACUAGUCGAGUUGCUGUGCGCUGAAAAUGUCUCGGGGCUGAACAGAAUCACCGAAGCGUCAGAUACAAGUAGCGAAGCGUUUUGUUCGCCAAUGAACAUUUAUCGAAAGAUAAGUGGAAGGUCUCAAAAGUGACUAUGCUGGCAUGAGUAACGAUUAAUCAUGUAAAACCAUGAUCGCCGUAUGUUCAAGGGUUUCUGCAAACUGGGAGUCAGUGCAGAGUUAUGUUCGGUCCCUAAGAUGAAUACCCACUGGUACCAUUGAUGGAGGAAACUCAUAUAUGACGACAAACGCACACACACAUUGCAAAAAGGAUACAAUUGUUGUGUGUGUACUGGUCCAGGAAAAGUAUAUGAAAACAAAACACCGUACCCUAAACCGACACAGGUGAACGAGUCGACUAGACUCAGGCGUUGAGAGAACCAUAUUGAAGGAACUCGGCAAACUUAUCCCGUACCUUAGGAAGAAGGGAUACCGAAAAUGGUGACACAAAAAUGGGGGUGACGACUUUUUACUAAAAAAUUAGGACUCUGCAAAAUGGCAACAUGCUGUAUAGGGUCUGACGUCUGCCCGGUGCUAGAAGUCUAAAAGGAGCAUUGCAAGAUGCAAAUGGAAAGCCUAGUAAACGGCGGUUGUAACUAUAACAAUCAUAAAGUAGCGAAAUUCAUUGCCAGCUAAUUCCUGGCCUGCAUGAAAGACGUAACGAUUGCCCCGCUGUCUCCAGUAUGGACUCAGUGAAAUUGAAUUCUCCGUGCAGAUGCGGAGUACGUGCCCCAAGACGAGAAGACCCUGUGCAUCUUUACUGUACAUUUGCAUUGACAACACGAUGUGUCUGUGUAGGAUAGGUGGGAGUACACACAACCUUGAAAUACCACCCUUACCAUCGUUUUUGUCUAACACCUUGAUGGUGGACCAUGCAUGUGAGGCAGUUUGACUGGGGCGGUCGCCUCCUAAAGAGUAACGGAGGCGUACGAAGGUAAACUCAAUGUAGAUCGGAAACCUACUGAAGAGCGUAAUGGUAUAUGUUUGCCUGACUGUAAGAUGUACACAUCAAACAGAGACGAAAGUCGGUCAUAAUGAUCCACAAGUGCCGCGUGGAAGGGCUUGUGCUUAACGAAUCAAAGAUACGCCAGGGAUAACAGGCUGAUAAUUCCCAAGAGUCCUUAUCGACGGAAUUGUUUGGCACCUCGAUGUUGACUGAUCAUAUCCUGGGGCUGAAGAAGGUCCCAAGGGUUCGGCUGUUCGCCGAAUAAAAUGGUACCUGAGUUGAGUUUAGAACGU